AUUGAACGCUGGCGGCAGGCCUAACACAUGCAAGUCGAGCGGAGCGGCUGACGGGUGAGUAAUGCCUAGGAAUCUGCCUGGUAGUGGGGGAUAGCGUCCGGCAACGGGCGCUAAUAUCGCAUACUAUCAGAUGAGCCUUGGUCGGGUUGGCUAGGUGGUGGGGUAAGGGCUUACCAAGGCGACGAGCCGUAACUGGUAUGAGAGGUUGAUCAGUCACACUGGAAAUGAGAAACGGUCCAGAAUCCUACGGGAGGCAGCAGUGGGGAAUAGUGGACAAUGGGCGAAAGCCUGAUCCCGCCAGGCGGCGUGUGUGAAGAAGGUCUUCGGAUUGUAAAGAACUUUAAGUUGGGAGGCGUUACCAACAGAAGAAGCACCGGCUAACUUCGUGCCAGCAGCCGCGGUAAUAC
This 407-nucleotide ribosomal RNA is filed under the name uncultured bacterium. RNAcentral describes it as "partial 16S ribosomal RNA". It matches the Rfam family "Bacterial small subunit ribosomal RNA", at positions 30 to 526 of the family's 1533-position model. The record is from RNAcentral.